Molecule: ribosomal RNA, 617 nt
Filed under: Oreophryne unicolor
Lineage: Eukaryota; Metazoa; Chordata; Amphibia; Anura; Microhylidae
Description: partial 12S ribosomal RNA
Rfam family: Bacterial small subunit ribosomal RNA (bases 1-453)
Source: RNAcentral
UACGAGUUCAAACUUAAAACCCAAAGGACUUGACGGUGUCUCACUCCACCUAGAGGAGCCUGUUCUAUAAUCGAUUAUCCCCGAUACACCCCACCGCUUCUUGCCUACUCAGCCUGUAUACCUCCGUCGCAAGCUUACCAUGUGAAUGCACUCAGUAAGCCAAAAGAUCCAGCAUACAAACGUCAGGUCAAGGUGCAGCCUACGAAGCGGGAGAUAAUGGGCUACAAUCUCUACCCUAGAACAAACGGAAGGCUGCAUGAAACACAGCCCCAAGGCGGAUUUAGCAGUAAAAAGAAAAUAGAGAGUUCUUUUUAAUUAGGUAUGGGACGCGUACACACCGCCCGUCACCCUCUUCAAACUACCCACAACGUUUCUAACACCACAAAACCGCAUAGAAGAGGCAAGUCGUAACACGGUAAGCGUACUGGAAAGUGCGCUUGGAAUACAAUAUGUAGCUUAACAAAAGCACCUUGCUUACACCAAGAACAUGCCUGUUAAACUCAGACCAUCUUGAGCUAAAAUCCCAGCCCCACCCACUCCCAUGCAACAACCCAACCCAACAACACCAAUAAAACAUUUUAUUGACCCAGUAAAGGCGAUCAAAAAGUCCUUAGGAG